CCUACGGGUGGCAGCAGUGGGGAAUAUUGCACAAUGGGGGAAACCCUGAUGCAGCAACGCCGCGUGAGUGAAGAAGUAUUUCGGUAUGUAAAGCUCUAUCAGCAGGGAAGAAGAUGACGGUACCUGAUUAAGAAGCCCCGGCUAACUACGUGCCAGCAGCCGCGGUAAUACGUAGGGGGCAAGCGUUAUCCGGAUUUACUGGGGGUAAAGGGGGUGUAGCCGGGGUGACAAGUCAGAUGUGAAAUCCGGUGGCUAAACCCCCGAACUGCAUUUGAAACGGUUGGUCUUGAGUAUCGGAGAGGCAGGCGGAAUUCCUGUUGUAGCGGUGAAAUGCG
RNAcentral lists this ribosomal RNA (335 nucleotides) under uncultured bacterium. RNAcentral's name for it is "partial 16S ribosomal RNA". It matches the Rfam family "Bacterial small subunit ribosomal RNA", at positions 338 to 690 of the family's 1533-position model. The record is from RNAcentral.